Molecule: ribosomal RNA, 176 nt
Filed under: Duttaphrynus sp. Dtp
Lineage: Eukaryota; Metazoa; Chordata; Amphibia; Anura; Bufonidae
Description: partial 12S ribosomal RNA
Source: RNAcentral
CACUUCGUGUACUUUUACUUAACUCUGUCGCCAGGGAACUACGAGCUAAGCUUAAACCCAAAGGACUUGACGGUACCCCAUAUCCCCCUAGAGGAGCCUGUCCUAUAAUCGAUAACCCACGUUAAACCUCACCAUUUUUAGUUAAUCAGCCUGUAUACCGCCUCUUCAGCAAACCG